Molecule: ribosomal RNA, 512 nt
Filed under: uncultured bacterium
Lineage: Bacteria
Description: bacterial SSU rRNA
Rfam family: Bacterial small subunit ribosomal RNA
Source: RNAcentral
UAGUCCACGCCGUAAACGAUGAGCACUAGGUUUUGGGGGUAUUGAUCCCUUCAGAACCACAGCUAACGCAUUAAGUGCUCCGCCUGGGGAGUACGGUCGCAAGACUAAAACUCAAAGGAAUUGACGGGGGCCCGCACAAGCGGUGGAUUAUGUGGUUUAAUUCGAAGCAACGCGCAGAACCUUACCAAGACUUGAAAUCCUAGGAAUCCGACGUAAUGGUUGGAGUGCUCGCAAGAGAAUCCAGUGACAGGUGCUGCAUGGCUGUCGUCAGCUCGUGUUGUGAAAUGUUGGGUUAAGUCUCGCAACGAGCGCAACCCCUAUCUUUAGUUGCCAGCAUUAAGUUGGGCACUCUAGAGAGACUGCCCGGGUUAACCGGGAGGAAGGUGGGGAUGACGUCAAGUCCUCAUGGCCCUUAUGUCUUGGGCUACACACGUAAUACAAUGGUGCAUACAGAGGGACGCGAUCGGGUGACCGUUAGCAAAUCUCAAAAAGUGCAUCUCAGUCCGGAUUGG